CGGUGUAAGUUCUCAGCAUACGUUAGAAACCCUGUCACUUAUUUCCUGGAGUGCCGAAUCUUCUGAAGCCCUUAUGACUUUUUCCUUUCCAUUAGGUGACAACAGAACCUCUACCCCCAAACUACUGAAAAAGUAGGGGGUGGAAGAGGGUGUGGGGAGGGUAGGUCUGGAGGUAGGAGUAAUGUGUAAGUUUUCCUUGCUUUUCUGUCACGCAAAGCAGGGGUGACUGGCCCAGGAGAAAGCUCUUGAGGAAGGCCUCACAGUUCCUCACAGCACCCACCGGGGGGCUCUCGAAUGGCAUACAGCUUCGUCUUCCGAGAUGCCCUGCCUACGGGUAGGAUCUGAGGUCCUGCACCUCCAGAGGGUGCCUGCUGCACUGGGCAACACGGCCUAGUCUUCCCCAGCAUACACCCCACCGGGGGCCCUCACGGCUCCUCCCCUACUCCCCCACCCACUGGGUCAGACUGGGUCAGUCUGUCCGCCAGCUCCUAUACUGUCCUGGCUGGCCGGUUGGAAUGCAGCCCACUCUGCCUGCGGCCCAGGGUACUCGAAACCCGAGGACUCGUGUGCCCUGAAGCAGCCCCGGCAGAACUGCUUUCCCAGCAGGAGCCCCGCUGUGGCAGAGAGGACGCCAGCACUCGUGUUCAUACCCAGGCCUUCCUGGCAAGUGGCCUCCGCCGGCACGCAGGGCAUAGAAAGGGGGCAAGCACCAUGGUUAUGGACGAUGUUAAACAUUAGGGAAAACUAGGUGAACAGAAACUACUCUCUGCAACUCUUCUGUGAGUCUAAAAAUUAUUUCGAAAUACCAGACUUUAAAAAGGGGUGGGAGAAGGCGUUGUCCUUCCGGGUAUGUCAGCAGUCUGCCCAGGUGGGGAGGCAGGUUCUGAUACCUACAGGCACUGCUCAGAUGGAGCUCCUCCUUAGAGAUCAAAUGCCCCGCUGUGGCCAGCCUGGGCUCCAGCUCCCGAUGGACAGAGGCAGGGCCUUAGGGAUUGGCUUAUAUCAAACUCAGCCAGAAGGCCCGCCCUCCCCAUUCGGGUCUGGUGUCUCAGUGCCAAGACCACCAAACUCAAACCUCUGCCCUACCCCAUGCAAGAAGGGACUCUGUUCCCAGAAAACUACAGCUGAGUGGGGGAUCAGCUCCAACGGUCCCCUCACCAGCGGGUGUCGCUUGUCCCAGAUAGCCCUUUGACAGCGCCCCUCAGUGAGGGGCAGGUACUCAGAGCUUUGCCACAGGAAUGCAAGUGCACAAGUGUGUGUGUGGUGGUAGAGAGGGCAGCUGGGGGUGUGUGCAGGGGGGUGGUGUAUGUGCACCCAGCUGUGACCCAAAGACCUAGACUAGGUCAGAAAGGCUUAGGUUAGUCUUGGGUGCUGGGCAGCUUUGGAAGGAGCCGAGCAGCUCCUGGGAGAGGUUCCCACCAACCUUUCUUGACUCUGUGCUGGAAGCAGAGACAACAGAUGUUAGAUAACUGGAGGCAUGUGGCCCCCUGUGCCCAACUACCUGCCCACCAAGCCCUGGGGUCUUCUGCAUAGUCACCAGCCCACCGCAACCCCAACCGCCAGACCCCCCAGCCAGCAGUCCCAAGUUCUGGCGCUGCCGUGUUGUACAAGCCAACAGUGCCAUUUACGGGCACUACGCAGAAACCUGCUUCUGGGCAGCAGUGCGCACGUGGGGCGCCAGGCAACAGCAGGGCCAGGGCAGAGAUGACCUGAAGACAUGUGAGCAGAGGCCUUCUCAGCUGAAGGCUCCAACACCUCAGUCAGCCCUACCCUGGAAUCUGAAACCUUUACUUGAACAGCUCAGACAUUUUAAAUGAUUCAUCAAGUGCUUUGAAGUGGCGAUAGAGCAUUAUUAGGCCCUUCCUGUUUGUGUGUACACCUGUACACAGUCCCAACCCAGGAGAGCUAAUAAGGAGAAGCAAACAGAGAGACUGGGCCUCCCGGAGAGUUCUGAUGUUUGGGACUUUUAUGCUGCAGUUACUAGAAGGCUGCCCCUUGGCCUCUCACGGCCCACACCACUGACGGGCACCCAGGACUGCUCCACAACCGCUAAGACCACCAUGGCCAAAAGAGCUCCCAGGAAGUACCCUCAGCAGAGGUGAUGGCUUUGCCAGAGGCAGGAGCCUUAUAGUCUGUGCUCAGCUGCUCUCGCCCAGUCUUGAGAAUCUAAGACCAACAGAAGAAAGCCAGACUUGCAGGAGGUAUCAGAGGACGCCAAAACAGCCCUCCUACUGCUCAGACCAAGAGGUAGGGAGGGGCAGAUCUUUAAGCAUUUUAGCACUGAGCAAGAUCUCAAGAUAGCCAUAGGGAUGGAUCCUGUUCCUUCCAUGCAAGUGGCAGAGAGGAGAGCACACAACUUGCCGAGGACUCACUUCAGCUUUGCUUGGAUGCGCGUGUGCAGAGGGAUCACUUACUACUCAGGACAAGGAGCUACACUGAUGAGAAAAGAUGUUCUAAAGGCGGUACCACUGUGCCACCUGCCCUCAGAGCCCACGAGUUCCAGAAAAGGACACAUCCUAAAAUCCAGAUUAAAGAUUAAAAGGCCAAGAACAGACAAGCAAGUUCUGAAGAGGAAAAGGGAACAGAAGGCAGCGGGCCGGAGGGAGCACGUGGGGCCCGGCCGCUCAGUCCAAGGUGUCCAGGAGGCAGCAGCAGCAGAGGGCGGCCCAGCACGCGGCCAGGGCUGCCUCACAUCCGGUGUCCGUCUUCCUUUCCCGUUCCAUCACGUACACUGGGGGCGGGUCGGGGCAGGGGAGAGAGAGACCCGGUCAGAGGGGCGUCCCACGCAGCCGGCAGGCAGCACCGGCCACGGAAGACUCCAGAGGGCCGGCUCCGGGAGGCGGGGAGCCACGCCUGUCUGGUUCACGGCUCCAUCUCUGCUCCGGUGCCUGGCACACGUCCGGAACUCGUGUGCGAAUGCAGGGGACAUCUGCUCAGCACCUGUCAGACCACGGUUUCCCGCCACCUCCCCUUCCCCGAGCUACAUGAAACCCAACCCAGCACCGUAUUUGAUGCUUGUCCGAAGUGAUCCAGUUCGUAGAGAGCCCGGCCCCGCAGCCUGGUGGUGCGGCAGGCACCGGCUGAAAGCUUUACACUUUCUCUCAUGUAAUCCUCACAACGGCUGCGUGUCGCCCUCAUCAUUUAUAACCCUCAAACACUAUCAGCCAGUGUGAACUGGCAGGACCCCUUCGAAAGAGAGCGGGGAGGGGGGUGCAUACAAUUUUUGACCCACAAAAUCCACAUCUAGGAUUUCCUACAGAAGUAAUGGUCUCAGUGUUCAGAUACGUGUGACUGCCACGGUAUCCAAAUAACCCCAAACAACCACCUCCGUGUCCAGUGGAGACUGACGAGCUAAAUCAAUGCACACUGUAAGGCAGAAAAGGAAAACAGCCAUUAAAAAGAACUAGGUGGUUCUUCCA
Molecule: non-coding RNA, 3419 nt
Organism: Leptonychotes weddellii (Weddell seal)
Lineage: Eukaryota; Metazoa; Chordata; Mammalia; Carnivora; Phocidae
Source: RefSeq, a predicted model, not a curated record